Molecule: ribosomal RNA, 292 nt
Filed under: uncultured bacterium
Lineage: Bacteria
Description: partial 16S ribosomal RNA
Rfam family: Archaeal small subunit ribosomal RNA
Source: RNAcentral
GUGCCAGCCGCCGCGGUAAAACCAGCACCUCGAGUGGUCAGGAGGUUUAUUGGGCCUAAAGCAUCCGUAGCCGGUUGUUUAAGUUUUCGGUUAAAUCUAUGCGCUUAACGUAUAGGCUGCCGAAAAUACUGGACAGCUAGGGAGUGGGAGAGGUACACGGUACUCAAUAGGAAGGGGUAAAAUCCUUUGAUCUGUUGAUGACCACCUGUGGCGAAGGCGGUGUACCAGAACACGUUCGACGGUGAGGGAUGAAAGCUGGGGGAGCAAACCGGAUUAGAAACCCUUGUAGUCC